UGGGGAAUAUUGGACAAUGGGGGGAACCCUGAUCCAGCCAUGCCGCGUGUGUGAAGAAGGCCUUAUGGUUGUAAAGCACUUUAAGCGAGGAGGAGGGUACUGGUAUUAAUACUACCAGGUACUGGACGUUACUCGCAGAAUAAGCACCGGCUAACUCUGUGCCAGCAGCCGCGGUAAUACAGAGGGUGCGAGCGUUAAUCGGAUUUACUGGGCGUAAAGCGUGCGUAGGCGGCUAAUUGAGUCGGAUGUGAAAUCCCCGAGCUUAACUUGGGAAUUGCAUUCGAUACUGGUUAGCUAGAGUGUGGGAGAGGAUGGUAGAAUUCCAGGUGUAGCGGUGAAAUGCGUAGAGAUCUGGAGGAAUACCGAUGGAGAAGGCAGCCAUCUGGCCUAACACUGACGCUGAGGUACGAAAGCAUGGGGAGCAAACAGG
Molecule: ribosomal RNA, 430 nt
Filed under: Pseudomonadota bacterium
Lineage: Bacteria; Pseudomonadati; Pseudomonadota
Description: Proteobacteria bacterium partial 16S ribosomal RNA
Rfam family: Bacterial small subunit ribosomal RNA
Source: RNAcentral